Molecule: non-coding RNA, 1560 nt
Organism: Vicugna pacos (alpaca)
Lineage: Eukaryota; Metazoa; Chordata; Mammalia; Artiodactyla; Camelidae
Source: RefSeq, a predicted model, not a curated record
UCCUCAGUGUCGGGGGAGCGGGAGCAGGGGCGCGACACUCACUGUUGUUCAUCAGCUUGAUGUGCGGCCAGUCUCUCUCUGUGCAAAGUGUGGAGAACACCAGCACCUGUCUCUCAGGGUUGUCAGGAGGCUCGAAGGACCAACACAAGCAAAGCAGGGCGGCCAGGGAGCUCUGCCCCACCCCGCCCCUCCGCACACGCUGGGACCCUCCCUGCCCAGCUUCUAUCUUUUCCCAAGGAGGGGAACUGAUUCCAAGGACAGCGCCCACCUCACAACUGGAGGGACGGUGCUGGACGCAUACACGGCAUCAGAGAGCGCUCGGGGACGCCUCCCACAGGUGUGCAGAGGUGGCAGGCCAUUCGACUUCAUCACCAACACGAGGAGCUGAAGUCACCACCACCUUUGGACCCGCAGCCCCUCCCUGUGCCUGCCCCAGACCUGGUUAGAGAGGGCUCCUACCUCACCACCGCAGCCCCAGAGCCCUCCCCCUGGACGCCUACAGCUUGGCUGCACUGCGCCUUCUCUGCACCUUGCUGUACUCAUUCUGUAUUGUAUUUUAAAAUUCUCUUAUGUGAUUUUAUAUAUGAUAUUGUAUUAGGUUUGUGUGUGUGUGUGAAAGAGAGAGCUACAGAGACUGGGGAGGGAAGGAGAGAGAGAGAGACAGAGACACAAGGUAGAUCUUCAGAGUUAAAUUGGUGCUGAGUUGGGGAGGGGACAACAGAUUGGGGUCAAGGGAAGCCCUGGGGAUUUGGAUGGGACGGGGGGCCAGCGAGGAACUCUGUUUCCAGGGUAGAGGAAAGAACGUAUUUCAAUAGAAAACUAUGGUCUGUGUAGAGGUCAAAGAACCUCCAGUUUAUCUGCGCCUAGCCUCUCACUGUCUUUAAGCUGUUUGAACUCUGUAGUUGAAGGCAGCUGACGACACCGCGAGGUCACUGUUGUCUCUAAGUGCGCAUGUCCCGGACUGUCCAGGAACGGGUCAACUGUCUGCCCUCCCACCCUGCGAAAAGGCCAGUUCUGCCUGCAUUUAUUUACAUAUUCUUUCCAAUAUUCCUCAUCUAUAAAUGGGUCUGCCCUGUGGAUUCGCUUUUGAACUGGUUAUAACAUCUCCUGGACUCUCAGGAGUUCAAUAAAACUUUUAAAACAUGUUAAAUUUUAUAUCUGUUUCAGAGCCAUGAUUGUAGCAUUUUGUUGAGAAUUAUCUUGGAACAGUUUUCUGAAAACUUAGGAGGGAGCAGCUAGAAGGUGACUCAGGGAAGUGGGGGUGAGUGACCUGGACACCCUUGCGUGGGAAAGGAAGUAGGUGAUGGGAUCAGGGCACCUAGGUCAUCUAAAUCUCCAUAGAAACGCGCCUCUAUUUGGCUCACUGUUUAUUAUUGAUUAGGGCUUAGACUCUGAAAUUGAAUAUUAAUUUGUAGAUGUUCCAAGUGACUUUAGCCUGCUCCAGAUGCAAAUGAUUUCUAUCCACCAAGAAAUAUACCUCCCCAAGGAUUUAUUGUCCUAUAAGAAGACAUCAUCUGAUUUUGCAAUCUUAUUUCAACAUCCUUUCUUCUCCCCUGCCUG